GAUGAAGAACGCAGUGAAAUGCGAUAAGUAAUGUGAAUUGCAGAAUUCAGUGAAUCAUCGAAUCUUUGAACGCACAUUGCGCCCAUUAGUAUUCUAGUGGGCAUGCCUGUUCGAGCGUCAUUAAGUCCACUUAAGCCCUGCUUAGUGUUGGGAGACUGCUCCAGCGGUGCUACCCUGUAGCUACCCUGCAGCUCCUCAAAGACAGCGGCGGAGUUGUGGUAUCCUCUGAGCUUAGUAACUUGUUCUAGCUUUCGAGUACACCACUUCCCCUGCCGUAAAACCCUUAAUUUUUAAUGGUUGACCUCGGAUCAGGUAGGAAUACCCGCUGAACUUAAGCAUAUCAAUAACGGAGGA
Molecule: unclassified non-coding RNA, 354 nt
Filed under: soil metagenome
Description: partial contains 5.8S ribosomal RNA, internal transcribed spacer 2, and large subunit ribosomal RNA
Rfam family: 5.8S ribosomal RNA (bases 1-120)
Source: RNAcentral